RNAcentral lists this ribosomal RNA (84 nucleotides) under Saccharothrix sp. NRRL B-16348. Its description in RNAcentral is "partial 16S ribosomal RNA". It matches the Rfam family "Bacterial small subunit ribosomal RNA", at positions 1458 to 1533 of the family's 1533-position model. The record is from RNAcentral. Lineage: Bacteria; Bacillati; Actinomycetota; Actinomycetes; Pseudonocardiales; Pseudonocardiaceae. RNAcentral also lists the same sequence under 1 other name.
GAAGGUGGGACUGGCGAUUGGGACGAAGUCGUAACAAGGUAGCCGUACCGGAAGGUGCGGCUGGAUCACCUCCUUUCUAAGGAG